Long non-coding RNA from Mastomys coucha (southern multimammate mouse), 612 nucleotides. RefSeq lists it as uncharacterized. NCBI's taxonomy places the organism in Eukaryota, Metazoa, Chordata, Mammalia, Rodentia, Muridae. The transcript is spliced from 2 exons. The record is from RefSeq and is a predicted model, not a curated record.
UCGCUCCUGUGACAUCACAGGUCUGAGAGUGGUUUCAGGAUCCUGGGUAAGUCCUUCAGACUCCAAGAAGCAGAGAUUCCCCACGGAAGGGAAUACUUACCCUCCGUGUUUGUCUCUGGAGGAUGCCGACAUGUGAAAACGAGCUCAAAAAUAGUGUACACAACUACAAUUGUUAAUACUUUCCUGGUGCUUCCUGCACAGCGGGGCUCAUCCAGAGCACAGCGAGUGUCUGAACUCACCAUUUGUGGCAGACCCACAAAGCGGAGUCUGUUCGGAUUCUCCCCGUUUUAAAGGCGAGGAAAGAGAGGCAGGGGAAGAGUUGGUCCUGCCAUUCUGCCUUGGGUGUGGGCCGCUCAUGUCCAAGGGACUCUGGGUGUGUCAUCUACCUCUUUGAGCUUAGGAGACUUGCCUAUCUGUGAAGUGAAGAACAGGCUCAACAGUGCCAUCUCCAGUCUCCAAGAGACAGCAUGCCAUGGCAGAGAUACAAAUGAGACAGCAUACAAAAUCCAGUGGAGAUCCCUAACUCAUCUCAUAGAAAAGGCGGCUCACUGGGCCUCCUGCACAAUAUAUCCAUGAAGGCAACCUGAAUUGAUUAAAGAAAGUCAGCCCUAA